CAGGGAAUAUUGCACAAUGGGCGAAAGCCUGAUGCAGCAACGCCGCGUGGGGGAUGACGGUCUUCGGAUUGUAAACCCCUUUUCUGAGGGAAGAGUAAGGACGGUACCUCAGGAAUAAGCAACGGCUAACUACGUGCCAGCAGCCGCGGUAAUACGUAGGUUGCGAGCGUUAUCCGGAUUUACUGGGCGUAAAGCGCACCGAGGUGGCAUCUUAAGUCGGAUGUAAAAUCUCCUGGCUCAACUGGGAGGCGCCAUUCGAUACUGAGAAGCUUGAGUUCAGCAGGGGAAAGUGGAAUUCCCGGUGUAGUGGUGGAAUGCGUAGAGAUCGGGAGGAACACCAGUGGCGAAAGCGGCUUUCUGGGCUGCAACUGACACUCUAGUGCGAAAGCGUGGGGAGCAAACAG
Molecule: ribosomal RNA, 404 nt
Filed under: uncultured bacterium
Lineage: Bacteria
Description: bacterial SSU rRNA
Rfam family: Bacterial small subunit ribosomal RNA
Source: RNAcentral